Molecule: ribosomal RNA, 427 nt
Filed under: uncultured Acidobacterium sp.
Lineage: Bacteria; Pseudomonadati; Acidobacteriota; Terriglobia; Terriglobales; Acidobacteriaceae
Description: bacterial SSU rRNA
Rfam family: Bacterial small subunit ribosomal RNA
Source: RNAcentral
AACGCGAAGAACCUUACCUGGGCUCGAAAUGUACAGGAAUCCGGUGGAAACAUCGGCGCCCAGCAAUGGGCCUGUAUAUAGGUGCUGCAUGGCUGUCGUCAGCUCGUGUCGUGAGAUGUUGGGUUAAGUCCCGCAACGAGCGCAACCCUUACCCCCAGUUGCCAUCAUUAAGUUGGGCACUCUGGUGGAACCGCCUCGGAUAACGGGGAGGAAGGUGGGGAUGACGUCAAGUCCUCAUGGCCUUUAUGUCCAGGGCUACACACGUGCUACAAUGGCCGGUACAAACCGUCGCAAAGCCGCGAGGUGGAGCUAAUCGGAAAAAGCCGGCCUCAGUUCGGAUCGCAGUCUGCAACUCGACUGCGUGAAGCUGGAAUCGCUAGUAAUCGUGGAUCAGAAUGCCACGGUGAAUACGUUCCCGGGCCUUGUA